RNAcentral lists this small RNA (404 nucleotides) under Histoplasma capsulatum var. duboisii H88. RNAcentral's name for it is "Histoplasma capsulatum H88 hypothetical RNA". Lineage: Eukaryota; Fungi; Ascomycota; Eurotiomycetes; Onygenales; Ajellomycetaceae. The record is from RNAcentral.
UGCUGAUGGCCCAGUUACCGUGCGCGGUUUCUGGGGCAGUUGAUUCAACCACGGGAUGUUGCGCCCGCUGGCUUUCAUUUUGACAAGUGCAGCAUUGCCACGGAGACAGAUCAAUCGGUUUUCCUGCCUAAUAUCUGCGGCGCAUAUUCUCUCCCAAGUGUAAUACGUAACCUGCACCGCACAGUUCUCGUGUGGUGCAUCAUGGUCGUCGUCAGUUAAUGCUUGCGAAAGUGCCUUGAGCACGCGGCGGGAUACUUGGGUGACGCACGCAGGAGAGGACUUGAUCAGGCCAAGGCGGCUAACUGAUAAGAUCCGUGCAGCUGACCGUUGUUGCUGCUAUUUUUAGUGUGUAUAUCCCAACAGGGGUGGAGGAAGAAACUUUCGCCACCACUGGGCUCCAGAGA